UGGUUCCGGCAUCGAUGAAGAACGCAGCGAAAUGCGAUAUGUAAUGUGAAUUGCAGAUUUCAGUGAAUCAUCGAAUCUUUGAACGCACAUUGCGCCCCCUGGCAUUCCGGGGGGCAUGCCCGUUCGAGCGUCAUUUCUCCCUAGCUUCGGCUGUGUUGGGCGACGUGUAGGCAUAAUGCUUAUACGGGCCUUAAAUUCAGGGGUGCUCUAGGUGCACGGUAGAGAGCGUAAGACGCACUCGAAUCCCACUGGACCACCAAAACUUGAACUAAGCUCUAGUGGUUUUAUCCCAGCGAUAAGGCUGCUCCAGUCAAGUUCCGCCAACAUUUGACCUCGAACGGGUAGGAUCACCCGCUGA
RNAcentral lists this unclassified non-coding RNA (358 nucleotides) under uncultured fungus. RNAcentral describes it as "partial contains 5.8S ribosomal RNA and internal transcribed spacer 2". The stretch from base 1 to 133 matches the Rfam family "5.8S ribosomal RNA", at positions 22 to 154 of the family's 154-position model. Lineage: Eukaryota; Fungi. The record is from RNAcentral.